UUUUGAUAUGCCCAUGGCUGAGAGAGAGAGAGAGAGAGAGAGAGGAUGAGAGCUUUCUCAAUCUUGAUUAAAACACCCUUGGGAGUGAUACAACCUCUUUUAGGAUAGUUUUCAUCUGUGUUCACAGUCUCCGGAUGCCACUGAUAUGCAAUGUAGUUUCUUUGAGAAGAUAGUCGAGACAAGAUUGACUGAGAUUCCAUUUUGGUAUGGGGCCGCUGUGGUUGAUUAAGCCGAAGACUUGGCAAGGUUUGCUCGAGUUAUCUCUCUUGUCUAGACCAUUUGUGAGAAGGGAUCUUUUGUUUUCACCAAUACCCCACCAGUCUCUAUAUCUGCAAUAAGUCUAUUUCUCAGCUAAGGAAUAUAGCUUGUCAACAUAUCACACUACCCUUUCUAAAAACCGAUCCUAUGUUUUAGAUGCUUCCGUAGCCUAGAAUACAUUGUUGUGCGAAUAUGUAAUCUCUUGGCACGUCAGGGUUAGUUUCUUCUGUACCUCUAGAUAUUCUCUUACUUUGUAGGAUUCCCAAGCUACCAAAUCUUUAAGAAAUUAAACAACUGUAGCCGAACCCCAUCCAUAAGAAAGGUCUACUCUGUAGGUCACAGCUAUUACAGCCGCACUCCUCAUAGUUAAGGUGAUUUAUUUCUUCCAUCAAAAUCUGAUCCUUCAGAAGUUGGGUUUUAAAAUUAUAAGUAAGUAGAUAAAAGUGCAUUAGUGGUAUUUCCAGAUGCUGCACUCAUUAACUUUUUUUUUCCAUUUAUGUUCCAACUCAAUUUAAGAUGGUUCUCGAAUUCAUAUAAAAUCAUUUACAACACGGACAUGGUAGCUAAGAAAUUGUAUCGUCUUACACUAGUUUCCUAAUAAAUAAAAAUGGGGAUUGGUGAGGUGGUUGGUUAUAUUCCCUUCUCAUCGAUGGUCUAGAUGUGCGAGAUGACUCUCAUGGAGGUAAAGAUAAAAUGGUGAAUUUGUGAAGUUCCCAAGAUAAUAAUGGUAAUUCCUAAAAAGUGGGUUAGAUUUUCAGCUUGUGAAUUUGUUGUAUUGCAUAAUUUCCAGGCCAAUGGAUCCUCCAAUACAGGUGAUGAUGUUUCCAACUAUAGUUGUGUAAGCUUUUUUGGGGAUUGAGUAAAUCAUCCCAUAACUCAAACUAAUGUAAAUGAUGGAUGCAGUAGUGAAUUUGUUGCAAGGUGAAUAGGUUUGUUGCCUUUGCAAGAAGUAAAGAAGACAAAAACAGGUUGUAAAAUAAAGCGUGUAUAUGGAUGAAAGAGGAGAGUGGACGGAAUGUGUACCUUUGACUUGUGGUCACUGAUGCUCUCGCUCAUCCAAUUCAUGCUGCAACAGGAAACAACAAAAGGAAUGAGUGACGUAACGCCAAGCAUUAGGAGUUUGCUUGUAGAUUUGAUCAUCAUUCCAUUACUAAUGUAAUCUUUGUCAUCUUCCGUAGUUUCUGACUACAAAUGAGACUAUUUAACUUAGCCAAUGUGUCACUAGUGAGCGUAAAUGAAAAUAUUAUUUUUAGUA
Camelina sativa (false flax) is the source of this 1513-nucleotide non-coding RNA. The record is from RefSeq and is a predicted model, not a curated record. Lineage: Eukaryota; Viridiplantae; Streptophyta; Magnoliopsida; Brassicales; Brassicaceae.